This 7385-nucleotide long non-coding RNA is filed under the name Hordeum vulgare. RNAcentral describes it as "long non-coding RNA (HVUL_LNC005553)". Lineage: Eukaryota; Viridiplantae; Streptophyta; Magnoliopsida; Poales; Poaceae. The record is from RNAcentral.
AGGUCCCGCUAUUGGAUAUUGACCGAGGAGUCUCUCGGGUCAUGUCUACAUAGUUCUCGAACCCGCAGGGUCUGCACACUUAAGGUUCGACGUUGUUUUAUGCGUAUUUGAGUUAUAUGGUUGGUUACCGAAUGUUGUUCGGAGUCCCGGAUGAGAUCACGGACGUCACGAGGGUUUCCGGAAUGGUCCGGAAACGAAGAUUGAUAUAUAGGAUGACCUCAUUUGAUUACCGGAAGGUUUUCGGAGUUACCGGAAAUGUACCAGGAAUGACGAAUGGGUUCCGGGAGUUCACCGGGGGGGGGGGCAACCCACCCCGGGGAAGGCCAUAGGCCUUGAGGGUAGCGCACCAGCCCUUAGUGGACUGGCGGGGCAGCCCAAAAGGGCCCUAUGCGCAUUGGAAGAAAAAUCAAAGAGAAGGGAAAAAAAGGAGGAGGUGGGAAGGGAAGGAAGGACUCCCACCCACCAAACCAAGUCCAACUCGGUUUGGGGGGGAGACCUUUCCCCCUUGGCUCGGCCGACCCCCUUGGGGCUCCUUGAGCCCCAAGGCGAGGCCCCCUCUCUCCCACCUAUAUAUACGGAGGUUUUAGGGCUGAUUUGAGACGACUUUUCCACGGCAGCCCGACCACAUACCUCCACGGUUUUUCCUCUAGAUCGCGUUUCUGCGGAGCUCGGGCGGAGCCCUGCUGAGGCGAGAUCAUCACCAACCUCCGGAGCGCCGUCACGCUGCUGGAGAACUCUUCUACCUCUCCGUCUCUCUUGCUGGAUCAAGAAGGCCGAGAUCAUCGUCGAGCUGUACGUGUGCUGAACGCGGAGGUGCCGUCCAUUCGAUACUAGAUCGUGGGACUGAUCGCGGGAUUGUUCGCGGGGCGGAUCGAGGGACGUGAGGAUGUUCCACUACAUCAACCGAGUUCACUAACGCUUCUGCUGUACGGUCUACAAGGGUACGUAAAUCACUCAUCCCCUCUCGUAGAUGGACAUCACCAUGAUAGGUCUUCGUGCGCGUAGGAAAAUUUUUGUUUCCCAUGCGACGUUCCCCAACAGUGGCAUCAUGAGCUAGGUUCAUGCGUAGAUGUCUUCUCGAGUAGAACACAAAAGUUUUUGUGGACGGUGAUGUGCGCUUUUCUGCCCUCCUUAGUCUUUUCUUGAUUCUGCGGUAUUGUUGGAUUGAAGCGGCUUGGACCGACAUUACUCGUACGCUUACGAGAGACUGGUUUCAUCGCUACGAGUAACCCCAUUGCUCAAAGAUGACUGGCAAGUGUCGGUUUCUCCAACUUUAGUUGAAUCGGAUUUGACCGAGGAGGUCCUUGGAUGAGGUUAAAUAGCAACUCAUGUAUCUCCGUUGUGGUGUUUGCGUAAGUAAGAUGCAAUCCUACUAGAUACCCAUGGUCACCACGUAAAACAUGCAACAACAAAAUUAGAGGACGUCUAACUUGUUUUUGCAAGGUAUGCUUGUGAUGUGAUAUGGCCAACGAUGUGAUGUGAUAUAUUGGAUGUAUGAGAUGAUCAUGUUGUAAUAGAUAAUAUCGACUUGCACGUCGAUGGUACGGCAACCGGCAGGAGCCAUAGGGUUGUCUUUAUACUAAUGUUUGUGCUUGCAGAUGCGUUUACUAUUUUGCUAGGAUGUAGCUUUAGUAGUAAUAGCAUGAGUAGCAUGACAACCUCGAUGGCAACACGUUGAUGGAGAUCAUGGUGUGGCGCCGGUGACAAGAAGAUCGUGCCGGUGCUUUUGGUGAUGGAGAUCAAGAAGCACUUGAUGAUGGCCAUAUCAUGUCACUUAUGAAUUGCAUGUGAUGUUAAUCCUUUUAUGCACCUUAUUUUGCUUAGAACGACGGUAGCAUUAUGAGGUGAUCUCUCACUAAAAUUUCAAGACGAAAUUGUGUUCUCCCCGACUGUGCACCGUUGCUACAGUUCGUCAUUUCGAGACACCACGUGAUGAUCGGGUGUGAUAGACUCAACGUUCACAUACAACGGGUGCAAAACAGUUGCGCACGCGGAACACUCGGGUUAAGCUUGACGAGCCUAGCAUGUGCAGACAUGGCCUCGGAACACAUGAGACCGAAAGGUCGAUCAUGAAUCAUAUAGAUGAUAUGAUUAGCAUAGGGAUGCUUACCACUGAAACUAUACUCAACUCACGUGAUGAUUGGACUUGAGCUAGUGUAAGUGGAUCAUGAACCACUCAAAUGACUAGAGAGAUGUACUUUUUGAGUGGGAGUUUAGCGAAUAAUUUGAUUAAGUUGAACUCUAAUUAUUUUGAACAUAGUCUAAGUCCACUUUGAAUAUAUUUGUGUUGUAGAUCAUGGCUCACGCGACAGUCACCCUGAAUUUUAAUACGUUCCUAGAGAAAGCUAAGUUGAAAGAUGAUGGAAGCAACUUUGUAGACUGGGCUCGUAAUCUUAAGCUAAUCUUACAAGUUGGGAAAAAGGAUUAUGUCCUUAAUGCUACGCUAGGAGAUGAACCACCCGCUACGGCUGAUCAGGAUGUUAAGAACGCUUGGUUAGCACGUAAGGAGGACUACUCAGUAGUUCAAUGUGCAGUCUUGUAUGGCUUAGUGCCGGAACUUCAACGUCGCUUUGAGCGUCAUGGAGCAUUUGAGAUGUUCCAGGAGUUGAAGUUUAUCUUUCAGAAGAACGCCCGGAUCGAGAGGUAUGAGACCUCCGAUAAAUUCUAUGCUUGCAAGAUGGAGAAAAACUCGUCUGUCAGUGAACAUGUGCUCAAAAUAUCUGGGUACUCAAACCGUCUAGCUGAGCUGGGGAUUGAACUCCCGCAAGAGGCUAUCACUGACAGAAUCCUUCAAUCAAUGCCGCCAAGCUACAAAGGCUUUGUGUUGAACUACAACAUGCAAGGGAUGAACAAGUCUCCCGGCGAGUUGUUUGCGAUGCUGAAAGUCGGAGAGUCUGAACUCCGUAAAGAGCAUCAAGUGUUGAUGGUGAAUAAGACCACUAGUUUCAAGAUAAACGGCAAAGGCAAGAAGGGUAAUUCAAAGAAGAGCGGCAAGCCUGUUGUCAAUCCGACGAAGAAACCCAAAGCUGGACCUAAGCCUGAAACAGAGUGUUACUAUUGCAAGGGUAUGGGUCACUGGAAGCGCAAUUGCCCCAAGUAUCUGGCAGAUAAGAAGGCGGCCAAACAAAAAUCAGGUAUAUUUGAUAUACAUGUUAUUGAUGUGUACUUAACCGGCUCUCGUAGUAGUGCCUGGGUAUUCGAUACCGGUUCUGUUGCUCAUAUUUGCAACUCGAAACAGGAACUGCGGAAUAGACGAAGGCUGGCGAAAGAUGAAGUGACGAUGCGCAUAGGAAAUGUUUCCAAGGUUGAUGCAAUCGCCGUCGGCACAGUUUCACUUCAGUUACCAUCAGGAUUAGUUAUGAACUUAAAUCAUUGUUAUUUAGUGCCUGCGUUGAGCAUGAAGAUUAUAUCUGGAUCUUGUUUAUUGCGAGACGGUUACUCUUUUAAGUCAGAUAAUAAUGGUUGUUCUAUUUCUAUGAGUAACAUCUUUUAUGGUCAUGCACCUAAUGUGAGAGGAUUGUUCAUAUUGAAUCUUGAUAGCGAUACACAUAUACAUAACAUUGAGACCAAAAGAGUUAGAGUUAACAAUGAUAGCGCCAUAUUUUUGUAGCACUGCCGCUUAGGUCAUAUUGGUGUAAAGCGCAUGAAGAAACUCCAUGCCGAUGGAAUUUUGGAGUCACUUGACUUUGAUUCACUUGACACGUGCGAACCAUGCCUCAUGGGCAAGAUGACUAAAACUCCGUUCUCCGGAACAAUGGAGCGUGCAAGUGACUUGUUGGAGAUCAUACAUACCGAUGUGUGUGGUCCGAUGAGCAUAGAGGCACGCGGCGGAUAUCGUUAUUUUCUCACCUUCACUGACGAUUUGAGUAGAUAUGGUUAUGUCUACUUAAUGAAGCACAAGUCUGAAACAUUUGAAAAGUUCAAGCAAUUUCAGAGUGAAGUUGAAAAUCAUCGUAACAAGAAGAUUGAGUUCCUACGGUCUGAUCGUGGGGGUGAAUAUCUGAGUUUCGAGUUUGGUGCUCACUUAAGACAAUGUGGAAUUGUUUCACGGUUAACACCGCCUGGAACACCACAGCGUAAUGGUGUGUCCGAACUUCGUAAUCGUACUUUAUUAGAGAUGGUGCGAUCUAUGAUGUCUCUUACCGAUUUGCCGUUAUCGUUUUGGGGUUAUGCAUUAGAAACAGCUGCAUUCACUUUAAAUAAGGCACCAUCAAAAUCCGUUGAGACGACACCAUACGAACUGUGGUAUGGCAAAAGGCCAAAGUUGUCGUUUCUUAAAGUUUGGGGAUGUGAUGCUUAUGUCAAAAAGCUUCAGCCUGAAAAGCUGGAACCCAAAGCGGAAAAGUGUGUCUUCAUAGGUUACCCAAAAGAGACAGUUGGGUACAGCUUCUAUCUCAAAUCCGAGGGCAAAGUGUUUGUUGCUAAAAACGGAGCUUUUCUCGAGAAGGAGUUUCUCUCGAGAGAAUUGAGUGGGAGGAAGAUAGAACUUGACGAGGUUGUCGAACCUCUAAUCCCUCUGGAUGGCGGCGCAGGGCAAGGGGAAACCUCUGUCGUUGCGACGCCGGUUGAGGAGGAAGUUAAUGAUGAUGAUCAUGAAACUCCGGUUCAAGUUUCUGUCGAACCACGCAGGUCGACGAGACCACGUGCUGCUCCAGAGUGGUACGGUAAUCCCGUCUUGUCAAUCAUGUUGUUGGACAACAAUGAACCUGCAAAUUAUGAAGAAGCAAUGGUGGGCCCAGAUUCCAACAAAUGGCUAGAAGCCAUGAAGUCCGAGAUAGGAUCCAUGUAUGAAAACAAAGUGUGGACUUUGGAGGUACUGCCUGAAGGCCGCAAGGCUAUUCAAAACAAAUGGAUCUUUAAGAGGAAGACGGGCGCUGACGGCAAUGUGACCAUUUAUAAAGCUCGACUUGUGGCAAAGGGUUUUUCACAAGUUCAAGGAGUUGACUACGAUGAGACAUUCUCACCCGUAGCGAUGCUUAAGUCCGUCAGAAUCAUGUUAGCAAUAGCUGCAUUUUUAGAUUAUGAAAUCUGGCAGAUGGAUGUCAAAAUGGCGUUCCUUAACGGUUUCCUUAAGGAAGAAUUGUAUAUGAUGCAACCCGAAGGUUUUGUCGAUCCUAAGAAUGCUAACAAGGUGUGCAAGCUCCAGCGAUCCAUUUAUGGACUGGUGCAAGCAUCUCGGAGUUGGAACAAACGCUUUGAUGAGGUGAUCAAAGCAUUUGGGUUUAUACAAGUGGUUGGAGAAUCUUGUAUUUACAAGAAAGUGAGUGGGAGCUCUGUGGCGUUUCUAAUAUUAUAUGUUGAUGACAUAUUGCUGAUUGGAAACAACGUAGAGUUUUUUUUGGAGAGCAUAAAUGAUUACUUGAAUAAAAGUUUCUCUAUGAAGGACCUAGGAGAAGUUGCUUGCAUUCUAGGCAUUAAGAUCUAUAGGGAUAGAUCAAAACGCCUGAUAGGACUUUCACAAAGCACAUACCUUGAUAAAGUUUUGAAGAGGUUCAAAAUGGAACAGUCCAAGAAGGGGUUCUUGCCAGUUUUACAAGGUACGCGAUUGAGUAAGACUCAGUGCCCAGCAACUGAUGAAGAUAGAGAGCAUAUGCGCUCCGUCCCCUAUGCUUCAGCCACAGGUUUAUCAUGUAUGCAAUGCUGUGCACUAGACCGGACGUUAGCCUGGCCAUAAGUAUGGCAGGUAGGUUCCAGAGUAAUCCAGGAGUGGAUCACUGGACGGCGGUCAAGAAUAUCCUGAAGUACCUGAAAAGGACUAAGGAGAUGUUUCUCGUAUAUGGAGGUGACGAAGAGCUCGCCGUAAAAGGUUACGUCGAUGCAAGCUUUGACACAGAUCCGGACGACUCUAAGUCGCAAACCGGAUACGUAUUUAUUCUUAAUGGGGGUGCGGUAAGCUGGUGCAGUUCCAAGCAGAGCGUCGUAGCAGAUUCUACAUGUGAAGCGGAGUACAUGGCUGCCUCGGAGGCGGCUAAGGAGGGUGUCUGGAUGAAGCAGUUCAUGACGGAUCUUGGAGUGGUGCCAAGCGCACUAAAUCCAAUAACCUUGUUCUGUGACAACACGGGUGCCAUUGCCUUAGCAAAGGAACCACGAUUUCACAAGAAGUCCAGACACAUCAAACGACGCUUCAACCUCAUCCGCGACUACGUCGAAGGGGAGGACAUGAAUAUAUGCAAAGUGCACACGGAUCUGAAUGUAGCAGACCCGCUGACUAAACCUCUUCCACGGCCAAAGCAUGAUCAACACCAGAACUGUAUGGGUGUUAGAUUUAUUACAAUGUAAUUCACAUGAUGAUGUGAGGGCUAGAUUAUUGACUCUAGUGCAAGUGGGAGACUGUUGGAAUUAUGCCCUAGAGGCAAUAAUACAUAUAGUUAUUAUUAUAAUUCCUGUAUCAAGAUAAUCGUUUAUUAUCCAUGCUAUAAUUGUAUUGAAUGAAGACUCAUUUACAUGUGUGGAUACAUAGACAAAACACUGUCCCUAGCAAGCCUCUAGUUGGCUAGCCAGUUGAUCAAAGAUAGUCACUGUCUUCUGAUUAUGAACAAGGUGUUGUUGCUUGAUAACUGGAUCACGUCAUUAGGAGAAUCACGUGAUGGACUAGACCCAAACUAAUAGACGUAGCAUGUUGAUCGUGUCAUUUUGUUGCUACUGUUUUCUGCGUGUCAAGUAUUUGUUCCUAUGACCAUGAGAUCAUAUAACUCACUGACACCGGAGGAUUACUUUGUGUGUAUCAAACGUCGCAACGUAACUGGGUGACUAUAAAGAUGCUCUACAGGUAUCUCCGAAGGUGUUAGUUGAGUUAGUAUGGAUCAAGACUGGGAUUUGUCACUCCGUGUGACGGAAAGGUAUCUCGGGGCCCACUCGGUAAUACAACAUCACACACAAGCCUUGCAAGCAAUGUAACUUAGUGUAAGUUGCGGGAUCUUGUAUUACGGAACGAGUAAAGAGACUUGCCUGUAAACGAGAUUGAAAUAGGUAUGCGGAUACUGACGAUCGAAUCUCGGGCGAUUAACAUACCGAAGGACAAAGGGAAUGACAUACGGGAUUAUAUGAAUCCUUGGCACUGAGGUUCAAACGAUAAGAUCUUCGUAGAAUAUGUAGGAUCCAAUAUGGGCAUCCAGGUCCCGCUAUUGGAUAUUGACCGAGGAGUCUCUCGGGUCAUGUCUACAUAGUUCUCGAACCCGCAGGGUCUGCACACUUAAGGUUCGACGUUGUUUUAUGCGUAUUUGAGUUAUAUGGUUGGUUACUGAAUGUUGUUCGGAGUCCAGGAUGAGAUCACGGACGUCACGAGGGUUUCCGGAAUGGUCCAGAAACGAAGAUUGAUAUAUAGGAUGACCUCAUUUGAUUACCGGAAGGUUUUCGGAGUUACCGGGAAUGUACCGGGAAUGACG